AUUGGAGGGCAAGUCUGGUGCCAGCAGCCGCGGUAAUUCCAGCUCCAAAAGCGUAUAUUAAAGUUGUUGCAGUUAAAAAGCUCGUAGUUGAACCUUGGGCUUGGUUGGCCGGUCCAUCUUUUUGAUGCGUACUGGACCCAACCGAGCCUUUCCUUCUGGCUAGCCUUUUGGCGAACCAGGACUUUUACUUUGAAAAAAUUAGAGCGUUCAAAGCAGGCCUUUGCUCGAAUAUAUUAGCAUGGAAUAAUAGAAUAGGACGUUAUGGUUCUAUUUUGUUGGUUUCUAGGACCAUCGUAAUGAUUAAUAGGGACGGUCGGGGGUAUCAGUAUUCAGUUGUCAGAGGUGAAAUUCUUGGAUUUACUGAAGACUAACUACUGCGAAAGCAUUUACCAAGGACGUUUUCAUUAAUCAAGAACGAAAGUUAGGGGAUCGAAGAUGAUCAGAUACCGUCGUAGUCUUAACCAUAAACUAUGCCGACUAGGGAUCGG
This 488-nucleotide ribosomal RNA is filed under the name uncultured Candida. RNAcentral describes it as "SSU rRNA". It matches the Rfam family "Eukaryotic small subunit ribosomal RNA", at positions 547 to 1056 of the family's 1831-position model. The record is from RNAcentral. Lineage: Eukaryota; Fungi; Ascomycota; Saccharomycetes; Saccharomycetales.